UACGGGGGGGGCAAGCGUUGUUCGGAAUUACUGGGCGUAAAGGGCUCGUAGGCGGCCAACUAAGUCGGACGUGAAAUCCCCAGGCUCAACCUGGGAACUGCGUCCGAUACUGGAUGGCUUGAAUCCGGGAGAGGGAUGCAGAAUUCCAGGUGUAGCGGUGAAAUGCGUAGAUAUCUGGAGGAAUACCGGUGGCGAAGGCGGCAUCCUGGACCGAGAUUGACACUGAUGAGCGAAAGCUAGGGGAGCAAACGGG
Molecule: ribosomal RNA, 253 nt
Filed under: uncultured bacterium
Lineage: Bacteria
Description: partial 16S ribosomal RNA
Rfam family: Bacterial small subunit ribosomal RNA
Source: RNAcentral